RNAcentral lists this ribosomal RNA (253 nucleotides) under uncultured bacterium. RNAcentral describes it as "partial 16S ribosomal RNA". It matches the Rfam family "Bacterial small subunit ribosomal RNA", at positions 524 to 776 of the family's 1533-position model. The record is from RNAcentral.
UACGUAGGGUGCAAGCGUUGUCCGGAAUUAUUGGGCGUAAAGAGCUCGUAGGCGGUCUGUCACGUCGGCUGUGAAAACCCGAGGCUCAACCUCGGGCCUGCAGUUGAUACGGGCAAACUAGAGUACUGCAGGGGAGACUGGAAUUCCUGGUGUAGCGGUGAAAUGCGCAGAUAUCAGGAGGAACACCGGUGGCGAAGGCGGGUCUCUGGGCAGUAACUGACGCUGAGGAGCGAAAGCGUGGGGAGCGAACAGG